Molecule: ribosomal RNA, 238 nt
Filed under: uncultured bacterium
Lineage: Bacteria
Description: partial 16S ribosomal RNA
Rfam family: Bacterial small subunit ribosomal RNA
Source: RNAcentral
CGGCGGACGGGUGAGUAACGCGUGGGAAACCUGCCCUGUACCGGGGGAUAACACUUAGAAAUAGGUGCUAAUACCGCAUAAGCGCACAGCUUCACAUGAAGCAGUGUGAAAAACUCCGGUGGUACAGGAUGGUCCCGCGUCUGAUUAGCCAGUUGGCAGGGUAACGGCCUACCAAAGCGACGAUCAGUAGCCGGCCUGAGAGGGUGAACGGCCACAUUGGGACUGAGACACGGCCCAA